AGGGGGUGCUCUCCCCUGGCAGUCGGUUCUGGGCUGACGCCCUAGAGGGCGCUGUGCUGUAGAGGGUGGGGGCCAGCAGGGGGCGCUCUCCCCUGGCAGUCGGUGCUGGCCUGAGGCCCUAGGGGGCGCUGUGCUGCAGGUGGGGGACCCACCAGGAGGCGCUCUCCCCUGGCAGUCGGUGCUGGCCUGAGGCCCUAGGGGGCGCUGUGCUGCAGGUGGGGGCACCCAGCAGGGGGCGCUCUCCCCUGGCAGUCGGUGCUGGCCUGAGGCCCUAGGGGGCGCUGUGCUGCAGGUGGGGGACCCAGCAGGGGGCGCUCUCCCCUGGCAGGCAGGGCUGGCACUAGGGGGUGCCCUGCAGCUUGUCUCACCUGGCC
This is a long non-coding RNA of Gopherus flavomarginatus (Mexican gopher tortoise), 374 nucleotides long. RefSeq lists it as uncharacterized. The transcript has 3 exons. Lineage: Eukaryota; Metazoa; Chordata; Testudines; Testudinidae. The record is from RefSeq and is a predicted model, not a curated record.